UGGUCACAUGGUCACAUAUGUUAUGGUAAUUACUCCUGCAAAAAAUUAUUGCAAUCUCUUUUUCCAAAGAGUGGAUGGCAUUAUUUGUCAUCAAAAUUGGGGGAAAAACAAAAUAUUGUUUGACUUAUUUUGAAUACAGCAUCAGAUAUUUAUUGGCAAAAAAACAUUCUGUAUUGUUCUUAAGCAUUUCUAUUUAGUAAACUUAGUUUGCAGAGACUUUCACCAUGUCACAGUAUGUGUAUGUGACAAAACGGGAAAUGCUAGAAAAAUGUAUUACUAUUGGUUUGUGAAUGAGUGUGUAAGAGAGAGGGUGCAGGAUGCCUAGAAAUAGUAUCUUUUCUGAAUUUUAACUUUCCAAAUUACCAACUGCCUGAUUAAUUAGGCAUAAAGCACUAUGAAAGAGUGUUUUCUUGUAGUCGGACAAGGACUCCUUGAUUUUGAAGUUCUCCUAGUAUUUAACACAUGAGAAAACAAAACAAGCAUUGUAUUUACAUACUUCGUGUGGGACUGUGAAGUGAUGUAGCAUUGAUUUAAAGAGGGCCUUCACUUAUUUUCAUUACAUAUGUGACCAUACUAGAUUUUCAGCAUGAAGGCUGUUGUAGCAUUCUGGCUUUUGCCAAAAAAACUUUCCUUAAGGCUCAGUCCCAGUCCUCUGUUUCUGGUGUCUCAUCUAAAUUUCUCCUCCAUCACUGCUACCUCCUCACUCAUAUUUACAGAUCAUUCCUGGCAUGUUCCUCCUCUCUCUCUCUCUCUCUCUCUCCUCCCUCUCCUCUCCUCUCUAUCUCUCCUCUCUCUUCUCUCUCUCCUCUCUCUCUCCCUCUUUCUCUCUCUCUCUCCCCCUCCCUCCCUCUCUCUCUUUUCUGCCCUCCCUUCUGUCUAGCAUGAUUUCUAUUUAGACUAGUGAAUCUUCACAGACACCCCUGCCUUUCACUGAAUAAACAUUUAAGUUUAGAUUCAGAAUUCACAUUUUGGAACUGGAAAUGUUGAUAAAGGUGACAUCAUAAGUU
This 1007-nucleotide long non-coding RNA is filed under the name Homo sapiens (human). Its description in RNAcentral is "non-protein coding lnc-DAOA-9:3". Lineage: Eukaryota; Metazoa; Chordata; Mammalia; Primates; Hominidae. The record is from RNAcentral.